Molecule: ribosomal RNA, 505 nt
Filed under: uncultured bacterium
Lineage: Bacteria
Description: partial 16S ribosomal RNA
Rfam family: Bacterial small subunit ribosomal RNA
Source: RNAcentral
GACGAACGCUGGCGGCGUGCCUAAUACAUGCAAGUAGAACGCACAGUUUAUACCGUAGCUUGCUACACCAUAAACUGUGAGUUGCGAACGGGUGAGUAACGCGUAGGUAACCUGCCUGGUAGCGGGGGAUAACUAUUGGAAACGAUAGCUAAUACCGCAUAAUAUUGAUUAUUGCAUGAUAAUUGAUUGAAAGAUGCUAUUGCAUCACUACCAGAUGGACCUGCGUUGUAUUAGCUAGUAGGUGAGGUAACGGCUCACCUAGGCGACGAUACAUAGCCGACCUGAGAGGGUGAUCGGCCACACUGGGACGGAGACACGGCCCAGACUCCUACGGGAGGCAGCAGUAGGGAAGCUUCGGCAAUGGACGAAAGUCUGACCGAGCAACGCCGCGUGAGUGAAGAAGGGUUUCGGAUCGUAAAGCUCUGUUGUAAGAGAAGAACGGGUGUGAGAGUGGAAAGUUCACACUGUGACGGUAUCUUACCGGAAAGGGACGGCUAACUACGUG